AGUGAACGCUGGCGGUAGGCCUAACACAUGCAAGUCGAACGGCAGCACAGUAAGAGCUUGCUCUUACGGGUGGCGAGUGGCGGACGGGUGAGGAAUACAUCGGAAUCUACUUUUUCGUGGGGGAUAACGUAGGGAAACUUACGCUAAUACCGCAUACGACCUACGGGUGAAAGCAGGGGAUCUUCGGACCUUGCGCGAUUGAAUGAGCCGAUGUCGGAUUAGCUAGUUGGCGGGGUAAAGGCCCACCAAGGCGACGAUCCGUAGCUGGUCUGAGAGGAUGAUCAGCCACACUGGAACUGAGACACGGUCCAGACUCCUACGGGAGGCAGCGGUGGGGAAUAUUGGACAAUGGGCGCAAGCCUGAUCCAGCCAUACCGCGUGGGUGAAGGAGGCCUUCGGGUUGUAAAGCCCUUUUGUUGGGAAAGAAAAGCAGCAGGUUAAUACCCCGCUGUUCUGACGGUACCCAAAGAAUAAGCACCGGCUAACUUCGUG
RNAcentral lists this ribosomal RNA (492 nucleotides) under uncultured bacterium. RNAcentral describes it as "partial 16S ribosomal RNA". It matches the Rfam family "Bacterial small subunit ribosomal RNA", at positions 29 to 507 of the family's 1533-position model. The record is from RNAcentral.